This 1480-nucleotide long non-coding RNA is filed under the name Pan troglodytes (chimpanzee). Its description in RNAcentral is "lincRNA". Lineage: Eukaryota; Metazoa; Chordata; Mammalia; Primates; Hominidae. The record is from RNAcentral.
GCACAAAGCUGCCUUUGCUGUUACAAACAGCCGACAGAGGGCGCCGGACCAGCGGUAACGGACCCACCAGCGACCCUAACCCGCGGUCGCCGCUUCCUCAAGGAGACCCGCGCUUGGGGUCCGCAGAGUCGAGGCCCGGGCGCUUGGGGAUUAGGGUCCGCAGGCCUCGUGAGCAGCGAGUAAACGCCGCCUUUCACGGCUCUGACUACAGAGGGAGAGCUCUACCGCCGCCUCCCCCGAGACAUUUUUCUCAUGGAACAUUUUAGCGAGACCGUUUUACCAAUGUGCCAAUGUAUUGAGGGGACUGACGGCUCAAAAUCAGAUCGUGCCGUAGUCAGUGUUAGAGAUUCAGGGCCAUUUCUGCGGAGACAGACCCGAAUUCGGAGAAAGGGGAAAAUCAUGAACAAUCAGGAAGCGAGCUUACAAAGUGCUGUCCACCUUUCAGUGGACAGGGCACCCCGCGGGAAAGGGAAAAUGUGUGCCCCAAUGUAGGUGAUUUUGUUAAGUUUUAAUGGUUUUUUUUUUUUCCUACAACAAAGUAGUUGAAAAAACUGAAAACUAUUAAAACACAUUAUUUUAAGUUUAAAUAUGCCAAGACCAGACUUUUUUUUUUUUUUGGUAAGUUUCUGAUUUUAAUGUAGGCAAACAUCAGAAUAUUUUCAAAAUUACUUUUCUGCUUACUCAUUUUCAAUUAAGAACAUUACCAUGUUUGGCAAUAUCUCAUGAAGCAAUAACUACCUUCAUUAAUUUCCACUUAUAGGAACUUUUAAAUCCUACUUGUUUUAAGCAAGGGCUUUCUAUGAAGCAUUCAGCUUUAUAUGCUGUAUAGUCAUGGUUUUCAUUGGAGAAUUUUAUUAACAUUUUCCACUUGGUUCAAAAUGUCAUCCCACAUAGAUAAGUUGCAUAAAAAUGUGUAAUCUCUUUGCAUUAAGAUGCUUUCCAUUUCAGCAUAAUGCAGGUUUGCAUUUGGUAUCAUUUACUGCUUAAUACAUAUCUUAAGUGCCAAUACAUCGAUUUUUAUUUUUAUGCCCUAGAUAUCCUUGAGUGUUUUUAAUGUAGUGGUUAAUUUUAAUGUAGUGUAAUGGGACAUGAUAAUUUCCCAUCUGCUAGUUGAAUUCAAAAAUGUAGCUAUACCCUUUGUACAAUACUUUUAAAAAGUUAUCUUAAUUCACAAAUGCAGAAUUUUACAUAAGAUUAUGAGCUGAGUAAGGCACAAAUGUGACAUAAUCAUUUUGGGUGGGAAAUAAUGGCUUUUAUGCCUUUGUGUACACCUGCCACCAUGGCCUCAUUAUCAUAUACUUGGCUAAUGUCAUUUUUAUGUCCAUAUCAUUUUCUAGUUUAUUAACAAUUUCAUGAACUAGAUAUAUUGAAGUUUUUCUUUCAUUUUAAAAACGUCAAAACAAUUGUUAACAUCAUUCUUAAUGUGAACAUAAUGGACUAUAUAUAUUGUAUAAUCAAAAAAUAAAGUAUUUUGUUUUUA